This is a long non-coding RNA of Brienomyrus brachyistius, 1819 nucleotides long. RefSeq lists it as uncharacterized. Lineage: Eukaryota; Metazoa; Chordata; Actinopteri; Osteoglossiformes; Mormyridae. The record is from RefSeq and is a predicted model, not a curated record. The transcript has 2 exons.
GGGAAUGUGGGAAAACAAGCAAGGAGACCCAGUGCAGGUUAAGGAAAUGGAUCUGGCAGAGAUUUCUCAGAGUACCCUGAAAGUUGGAGCUGGAAGCACAGAGCCCAAGGCUAAUGACAUCCUGGAUGGUUGUCCGUGAUAGUCCUUCAGAUGGCACAUACAUAUCCAGUUAUACAUUGUGUGUGAUAGCCUAACUGCAUGUGUUUGGACUGCAGAUUGUAUUCAAGCAAAGUGGGGGCGGAGAGAUUCCACAAAGCAGGAUAUCUUCAUUAGCCAGAUAACUUAAGCCAAAAGUGAAUGUCCCAUAGGAAUGUCACUUACCUCUCUUCCUUUUGGACUGUUUUCACAUUUCUCUUAAAUUAUCCAGCUAACUGGAUAAAUCCUGCUUUGUGGAAUACCCCCCUGUGGUGGGAUUCAAAUCCAAGAUACUGGAGGUGUGAGGCAACAGCAUAGCAUGCUGAGUCACCAUUCCAUCCUAGAUCCUAGCUGUCUUGUGAUAAUUAUUGUAAUUAUGGAAUUGCCUGAAUGGAUGCAGUGGUGCAUGUAAAAGCCAUGCUUUAGGUUAUGUUUAUGGAUCCUAACCAUUCCAGCAUGCAGUACAUCUGAAAGGCUUGAUAUCUCCCCCCCCCCCUUACAUCCUGGCCUUGCAGGUCGUGCUUCCGCACCCACGCCGAGGGACCACUUAGCUAAAAGCAGGACUCGUUCUUACAUCAGCGCUUUUAGAAAAGGACAAGGAGAGCUCCCCCUCGCCAGGAGUCAUCAGUCAGCAUGGCUAAUCGUCCACAAAUCUCGUGCCCACGUUUCUAUCGCUCUCCUUCUGUCUGCUUGCUUCCUACGUCACCGUGACGGUCCACCACCCAUCGACGAUGCCUUCUUGUCCCUGUGUGUUCGACAGGGCGAUGAAUGAUGUUGUGCUGCGCAACUAGGAUGUGGAGGGAGCUUGUCGGUGGGGGGAUGUAAGAAUAGUAUAUCAUUUAUUGCUUGUAUACUAGUAUAUCAUUUAUUAAUUUCCCUAUCAGUCAUCCAGCUAUCUUCUGAGUGUCACAUCUCUCAUGAUUUUUCACAUCAACAUUUGGACAGAUCAGUGAAGGGAGGGUGGUUUAUGAAAAAAAGUAAAGCAUUAAAUUUAGUUCAUUUUUUCACUUUCUGUUUCAUGUAGCUUGACUACAUCUCUACUAAUGAUUUGCUAUGGAAAAUAGAGAAUCUACACCUUUAUAUUGGAUAAAUGGGAAGAGUGUAACACUGGUGUUGGAACAGACCCCGCAUCACCCCAGAUAAUUAUUAGCCAAGUAGCUGUCUAUGUCCCUGUGCUGAGAGAUGAAUAUAGUCAACCCUCAUGAAUUGGCGCUUCAUUCUAUUUUUUUUAUUAAAUAUUGUUUUUUUGUUAAAUAUUUUUAACGUGUCUAUGUAUUUUAGUUCUCUCUCUCUUUUUCGUGGUAGCGCACACAGUAUUUUUACAACUUAUUAUUUCUGUACGUCUUUACGUAAUUUUUAAUUGAUUGAAUACCUGCACCUUGUACGUACAGUUUAUGUUUCCUUUACGUAUUUUAUUGAAUUGUGCCUUGGUUACAUAUAUGACUUCUGUCAAUAAGUUAACAGUCCCGUUUGUUUACUCAUUUUACCUUACUGUGAAUGCAAAAGCAAUGAAUGUCGUGUUCUAUGAAUUUGUAGGGGUAAUAUUAGUAUACUGUACUGUAAAUGCGCUAGUAUGACAAAUACCCGAUACUGUACUCUAUUUUUACAUCAAACAUUUGUAUAAAGUUUUUUUUAAAGGUAAUGUAUUAAGCUAACUUUUAAAUAAAAUUAAAGUGUUUUGGGA